Molecule: non-coding RNA, 173 nt
Filed under: Desulfobulbus propionicus
Lineage: Bacteria; Pseudomonadati; Thermodesulfobacteriota; Desulfobulbia; Desulfobulbales; Desulfobulbaceae
Also listed under: 1 other name
Description: 6S RNA
Rfam family: 6S / SsrS RNA
About the family: E. coli 6S RNA was the first non coding RNA to be sequenced, but its function was unknown until recently. It consists of 184 nucleotides that fold into an extended hairpin structure with a large single-stranded internal bulge. The 6S RNA specifically associates with RNA polymerase holoenzyme containing the sigma70 specificity factor.
Source: RNAcentral
CAGCCCCUGCUCUGUUGGUGAUCAUCGGAGUAUUGAGCCAACUCUCAUGAUAAGGGUAGCUUGUGUUGAUGGAAGAUGGGAAACUGCACUGAUUCCCUGAGGUCGUCACUUGGCAUCGCCCACCUAUACUAAUAGGUUUAAUCAUUUCGUUGACACGGCAGCGUGGGGGUUUU